RNAcentral lists this ribosomal RNA (221 nucleotides) under uncultured bacterium. RNAcentral's name for it is "partial 16S ribosomal RNA". It matches the Rfam family "Bacterial small subunit ribosomal RNA", at positions 113 to 334 of the family's 1533-position model. The record is from RNAcentral.
UAAUAUCGGAACGUGUCCUGUAGAGGGGGAGUAGCCCGGCGAAAGCCGGAUUAAUACCGCAUACGAUCUACGGAUGAAAGUGGGGGACUCGCAAGGGCCUCACGUUACAGGAGCGGCCGAUAUUCGAUUAGCUUGUUGGUGAGGUAAAGGCUCACCAAGGCUACGAUCGAUAGCUGGUCUGAGAGGAUGAUCAGCCACACUGGGACUGAGACACGGCCCAG